This 201-nucleotide ribosomal RNA is filed under the name Escherichia marmotae. RNAcentral describes it as "partial 23S ribosomal RNA". It matches the Rfam family "Bacterial large subunit ribosomal RNA", at positions 230 to 469 of the family's 2925-position model. RNAcentral also lists the same sequence under 1 other name. The record is from RNAcentral. Lineage: Bacteria; Pseudomonadati; Pseudomonadota; Gammaproteobacteria; Enterobacterales; Enterobacteriaceae.
CGAGAUUCCCCCAGUAGCGGCGAGCGAACGGGGAGCAGCCCAGAGCCUGAAUCAGUGUGUGUGUUAGUGGAAGCGUCUGGAAAGGCGCGCGAUACAGGGUGACAGCCCCGUACACAAAAAUGCACAUACUGUGAGCUCGAUGAGUAGGGCGGGACACGUGGUAUCCUGUCUGAAUAUGGGGGGACCAUCCUCCAAGGCUAA